GACAUUCGAAUCCCUCCCCACAGAGCGCAGUCCUCAGGGAGCGGCCCUCCCUGCCUCCCCUGCCCAGUCCCUCCAUGGUCUGCCCUUCCUGCUCCUGCGUCCUCACCAAUUACUCAUCCCAGCGCUCCUUCCAAUCCACCGACCUCUUCUCAUGGCCUGGCCUGUGCCAGGCACACACAUUUUCCUCAUCGCUUUCCCUCCCGUCUCCUGGACCCACUGCGCCUCACUCUCCAGCAUCUCCUCCAAUGUUCCUCCUCCUGGAGGCUUCCCCUGUCCAUCCCAUCCAAGGCCUGAAACCUGUCCUCUCAGUUCCCAAGGGCAGCUCUUCCACCUUAUAGUUUAAUUUUUGUCAAGUUUUCUGAAACCCUAUUGGACAGAAGCAUCACAGAACAUGGCAACUUUGUCUAUGGUGUCUCUGAGCCCCACACAUGUCCUGGACAAAAAGCAACUCUGAAAAUUCUCUGACGAUAAUCGGAAAACAUUUGCUGUGUGGAGUUGUAUGCACAAAUUUUCGGAGUGGCGUUUUUCUUUUUAACUGAAGAAGCAAUUUUGGUAUUUACUCAUCAAAGAGUAAGAGAAGAAUACACACCUAUAUUAUGAGCCAUAAGUAUAAGGAAAUGUCUUGCAGACGUUUACAAAUACUAUGUAGAAGGAAUCAGAGAUUCAAGCCAGUAUCUAUAAAUUUCAGACAGCAAACAGAAUGAUUCUUUGACACACUCAGUCUUUCCAAGAAAUAACUGAGUUCCCCAACCAACACCAGAAGUAGAGCAAGAAAAUGUUCGUGUUUCCCAUGAAGACACCACAGAGACAGGCUCAACUCUCCUGCCUCUACUUAGGCACUGUCUUGGAUAGGCGUGGUCUGGAGGAGGUAAACCUUGUCUAGUGAGUUGUCUGUGUUUGUGCAGGAAGCACCCAGGGAUGUUUGUUUUGUAAAAAUACAAAAGUAUACAUUUGGUUGUACAUGAUGGCUAUGUGACCAAGAAGAGAGUGUUUUCUUUGUGCUUAAUACACAAGUUUUAAACACACUUGUACACAAAACCAAAAACCAAGAUGUAACAUUACAGUGCCAGGACUCAAGGGGAAAUGUGCCAUUGGUCAGAAAGAAGAAUGAUUAUUUAACAAAUUCAUGCUUAUAUAAAAUAACUGAAUUCCCCACCCCACCCAACAGGGAGCUCCUCCCCUUGUGCAUGCAGACCCCACAGAGAGGUUCUGAGCUCAGAGGCUCCCUGCUGGUCCUGCCUUUGAUGUGCAUCGUCUGGAGGAGGAGACCCAUGUCCACAGCAUCAUCUACAGCAAGGCAGGAGGCACCCGGGGCUGCAUCUCCAGGUUUUCCCACCACUUG
This 1342-nucleotide long non-coding RNA is filed under the name Homo sapiens (human). Its description in RNAcentral is "HSALNT0379978". The record is from RNAcentral. Lineage: Eukaryota; Metazoa; Chordata; Mammalia; Primates; Hominidae.